AUUAUUGACGAUAAAGUACAACCUCUCGUACCUUAUUGCUUAAAUGUUCUCUUUAUAUGUUUUAAAUAUUACAAAAAAUAGGGGUGGUCUUUUAUUUUUGUCGUGUACAGCAGUGUGUGCAUGUUAUUACCUUUACUUGUGUGUUUUAGUUUAGUUUCAAGUCCCUUUGUCUCAAUAGACAUUACUGCUCGGGGUGAAAGUCGUCUUUGGUCCGAUUCAGACUGGAUGUGUUCAGUGUUCAAGGACUGAUAAUGUGCACUUGACGUUCGCUACUUGACAGCAUAGUUAGCAUGUGGUAGCUAAAACAAUCAGUCUGUAAUACGUGAAGAAAAACCCCAGUGGUGCGGCUUAUAUUCAGGUGCGCUCUAUAGUCCAGAAUAGUUUUGUUGGUCUGUGUUUGCGUUUGGCUCCACCACCACACCCUGCAGCAAUGCCAGCUUCUGUUUUGGGGGGGAAAUAAAAAGUGUAGGUUGAGAGGGUGAUUGCCACAGAGAAUGAACAUGAAAUGGAGGAGCAGCUCGACCCACAGAACCUCAGUGGACAAAGACGUUGCACACUGACAUAUUUGACGGUGCAGAAACAAACUGCUGCUUUAGCAGCAAAAUAACACAAUGUGACCACAGAAUACCAAGCACAGGAAAUAUGUUGCACGGUGGGAAAACAGUUGUCAUUAACCUCUGGCUGGUGCAGGGGGAGACGGGGGAGACGGGAGCAGCAGAGUGACUGUGCUUUAAUAUCAAAGAGACGUCACCCUUCUGUUUGUUAUUAUGAAGUACAGUAUCCACAGGCAGAACACCCCUCCUGGGCCGGGGGGUUUUAAUAAAGCCUUACAUUUACUCAAGUGCACAAACACAUUCCAGGGUGCUCCAAAGAGUGCUGAGCUUAUAGUAAAAUAAAUGAUGAGAGGACUCUACUGCAUUAAGCCACGAUCAAAGGGCAAACUUUUGAUAUAUCACUUUUCUUUCAUGAUUACAUUAUUUUACCAUUCUAGCAGGGCAUUGUUUCAACAAAUCUUUCAACGUGACCAAGCUUCUCUUCGUUCAAGAGGCCUUGACUUUAUUUUGGUUUUGGAAAGACUAUGGAUGACAGAAGUCAUGUACGUUUUUUUAUAAUUCCAAUAUCACCAGCGGAUUGUCAGAAACUCUAGGCAAAGAGAUAAAUUAAAAAAAGGUACGGCCUGGGUGGUGGGGUGGGUGGGCUCGACCGAGGGGGGUUGUCGAAAUUGCCGUGACCUGGUUGAUUUGAGAACUAGACUCCAUGAUCAAAAAGGCCUUUUCGA
Gasterosteus aculeatus aculeatus (three-spined stickleback) is the source of this 1279-nucleotide long non-coding RNA. Lineage: Eukaryota; Metazoa; Chordata; Actinopteri; Perciformes; Gasterosteidae. The record is from Ensembl.